UCCCAGGGGGCUCAGUGGUAAAGAAUCUGCCUGCCAAGCAGGAGACUCAGGUUCGAUCCAUGGAUUGGGAA
This is a transfer RNA of Ovis aries (sheep), 71 nucleotides long. It matches the Rfam family "tRNA". Rfam says of the family: Transfer RNA (tRNA) molecules are approximately 80 nucleotides in length. Their secondary structure includes four short double-helical elements and three loops (D, anti-codon, and T loops). The record is from Rfam. Lineage: Eukaryota; Metazoa; Chordata; Mammalia; Artiodactyla; Bovidae.